GCUGCUGUGGCACAGUAGGUAGCGCAACGCCUUGGUAAGGCGUAGGUCGGCGGUUCAAGUCCGCUCAGCAGCUCCA
RNAcentral lists this transfer RNA (76 nucleotides) under Clostridiales bacterium. RNAcentral's name for it is "tRNA-Thr". It matches the Rfam family "tRNA". From Rfam's summary of the family: Transfer RNA (tRNA) molecules are approximately 80 nucleotides in length. Their secondary structure includes four short double-helical elements and three loops (D, anti-codon, and T loops). The record is from RNAcentral. Lineage: Bacteria; Bacillati; Bacillota; Clostridia; Eubacteriales. RNAcentral also lists the same sequence under 2 other names.